Molecule: long non-coding RNA, 446 nt
Filed under: Helianthus annuus (common sunflower)
Lineage: Eukaryota; Viridiplantae; Streptophyta; Magnoliopsida; Asterales; Asteraceae
Source: RNAcentral
AUGCUUAUCAUUCUUCUCGGGUUUCCUUGGUGCCUAGAACUCUGUGACCCCAUACCCAUUUAUAUUGUAGAUCUGAGAAAUUGAUAUGGGUUUACGAAGAAGAAAUGGUUUAUACGCUACAUGGGAUUCGAUUAUUGCAUCCAAUUCUGUCAGUUUGUUAUUGCAGUUAUGAUCGGAGGAGUGUUGUUGCUGCUUCCAGGCGAUGUUCGUUUGAUCGUGGGUAUUUGUGUGAUUGUUGAUGCACGCUAAGGUAAGUGGGUAUUUAGAAAGAGAGGGAGUUGCAGAGGUUGGGCGGUAGGACGAGGUGGUGGUGGCAGAGCCAUUCCUACGUUUUUGGAGACCCUAAGCGAACUACGAAAUGGAGGCCCUUUUGCAAAAGUACCCUUUUCAACAUAUUUAGUAACAAAACCCUCCUCGUUUACCCGAGCUUGGGACCGUCAACUAUA